RNAcentral lists this signal recognition particle RNA (147 nucleotides) under Bacillota bacterium. RNAcentral describes it as "Firmicutes bacterium (anaerobic digester metagenome) partial signal recognition particle sRNA large type". It matches the Rfam family "Bacterial large signal recognition particle RNA", at positions 117 to 256 of the family's 256-position model. Rfam says of the family: The signal recognition particle (SRP) is a universally conserved ribonucleoprotein involved in the co-translational targeting of proteins to membranes. Archaeal SRP consists of a 7S RNA and homologues of the eukaryotic SRP19 and SRP54 proteins. The record is from RNAcentral. Lineage: Bacteria; Bacillati; Bacillota.
GGUCUUACGCAAUGGGAAUCCAUGAACCCCGUCAGGUCCGGAAGGAAGCAGCGGUAAGUGGACGCCCCCAUGUGCCGUAAGGGCGCCUGGUCCGAGCUAACUACCUAGAUAUCGUCUGGAAGGCCACAUUCGAGGAUAGGCGCACGA